UUAUGGAGCCAGCUGGGAGGGUAGAACCCUGCCUGUUCUCAAAAGACCACAGCAGGCAGAUUAUUGUCCAGGAGAACUUCUUCAUCUGGUUGGGGAAAGCAGAGGCAAGAGUUCUACCCACAGGGGACAGGAAUCAAAGGGGGAAACUCCUGGAACUGACUGGCCAUUAAAGAGCGUAUGGAGUCAGAGAGUGACCUUGCCAGCACCACACGACAUUAGCACAGAUGGCCUUGGCCAUGUUAAUGACAUUUCCAUGGGAAGAUCCAUAUCUUUGACAUUUCUUGCACUCCCAGAAGCUGCAAGCAGCAUGAAGUAGCCUAAAGAGGAUUGACCUGACAGAAAAGCGUGUCCAGCUCACUCCAGCCACCCCAGACAUUGUGAGUAGCAUUCCCAGCAUGAAUCAGACACAUCUGCAUCCUCUGGCACUGCUGGAGAUGGAGAACAGAGACCAAAAGUGUGCAUGGAAUCACCAGCAGGAUCAUCCAAAGCUCUGUGGGAAGCAGGUCCAGGGAGGGGAUUCUCCUCUUUACUCUGCCCUCAUGAGAUCCCACCCAGAGAGCCGUGCCCAGUUUGGAUAUCCCAACAUCAGAAGAAUGUGGAACUGUUGGAGCAAGUCCAGAGGAGGCCUUGAGGUUGAUAAGGGGACUGGGGCACCUUUCCUAUGGACAAAGGAUGGGAAAGUUGGGGAUGUUCACUCUGGAGAAGAGAAGGUUGUUUGGAGAAGCUUCCAGUGCCUGAAGGGGCUGCAAGAAUCCUGGAGAGGAACAAUUCAUCAGGAACUGAAGUGACAGGACAAGGGAGAAUGGGCUCAAACUGAAAGAAGGGAGAUUUAGGUUUGAUAUAAAGAAGAAAUUGUUCCCUGUGAGGGUGGCAAGGCCCUGGCACAGUGUGUCCAAAGAAGCUGUGGAUGCCCCAUCCCUGGAAGUGCCCAAGGCCAGGCUGGACAGGGCUUGGAGCAGCCUGAGAGAGUGGAAGGUGUCCCUGCCAUGGCAGGGGUGGAAUGAGAUGAUCUUUCAGAUCUCUUCUUUCCCAAACCAUUCCAUGAUUACCACAAGGACAUAAAAUGCACCUUAAAGGAGAGGAUCACUAUGACACCUGUGAACCGAACAUGUGUGUCUUGUUUAAGCAUAGGACCAUGGGCUCAAAAGGUUUUUAAAUUAUCUACCAGCAGUCUGGUCUUCUUAUUUGUGCUUAUUAGCUCCCUAAAAAGAGAUGUGACUCUGCAAGUGGUGCUUCCAAUGCAUAAGGUAGAAAGAAGAGGUGCAGAAAUGAUUCAAGAGAUGAAAGUCCAUUUUUAAAAAUGGUGGUGCAAGGAGACAUUCAGCUAUGAAAAAGGAGCUGAUAAAGAGAAAAAACAACUGCCUGAAAGAUGAGGGAGAAGACCUUUAAAAUUAUCAGCUACUCCAGGAAGUUUUGCAACUGAAUAGAAAAAGAGAAAAAGCUCUUUCCAGAUCUCAGGAGAGAGAAGAGAGAAGGUAUGGAUCCUUUCAAGGGCUGAUGGACAUCCACAAUCUGUAUGACCCACCCCUACAGGACAAGAAUAUGAAAAAUCUUGCAAAUAUUGUACCCACAGACAAGAGGCAGAAAUUGGAGUCAAUUCCUCAACACCCUACUGUGGCAAACAUUCCUUUGAUUGUGGCUUCCUUAUUAUAAGUCAUGAAUUAGGAUUUAGCAUGCAAUUAUAAACAAAAUUGAAUCCUAGAAGAACCCAUAAGUAGCAUUCAAAUCUCAAAUUAAAAAUUACAAUUAUUCCUCAUCUAGAUCAAGUUUAUUCCUUCAGUCUGACGUUUUACUUCUCUUUCUUCUGGACAGUGGGAUUAUCUUGAUUAAAUCUGUGAUUCUGUGAUUUCUUUUGAGUUUUUUUUUUUUCCCUAUGCUUUGCACUUACUGGGGAGGGGGAAAAGAAUAUUGGCAUCUGCAAAGCAAUUGACUGUGCAGCCUGAUCAUUUGCUAAGCAUUAUUAAAAGCUCCCUGAAAUCACUCCAGUGCUUUGCCCUUUACAAGCCAUCAGCCAUCAAUUCAGACCAUCAAAUGUGAUUACCAGCACUCCUCCUGAAGCUACUUCCAAGCCAUUAGGCUGAUCGAAAAGCUGUGUCUUUCUCUUCCUCCCAAGUGCAUGUAAAUCCAGCAGACCCUGCUCCUGUGUUUGGGUGGUGAUUCAUUACACUUCUGAAUAGCAUUUGUGGUGUUACAACUCCAAGACGAGUCAGAAUUCAUUAAAUUUUCAGAUAUUGUCCUUAUUUAAGGGAACUUUUUCAGAAAUAGGCCCACAUGUUCCUCUCUCUUCUCUGUGCCUCUAUCCAUUAUGUAUUUAAAAUGUUCUGCUGGUGUGUAAAGAGAUUUAAUGACAGUGGCUUGGAAAAAUACAAUCAGAAAAGAAUAAAACUUUUCUGCCAAAAUUUUUUUAACAAUUCCAGGUUUUUUUUUUCCUGCAAAAAAAAAAAAAUUUUACAAAACAUCCUUUUUUAAGGAGUAUAUUGUGGCUAUUUUGCUCUUCUCUCUGAGCAGGAGUGGAUGAGAUGACUCCAAGAGAACCUUUAUCCACAGCCUUAUGAAAUAUCCUGUAGGAAAGUGGUAAAAGCUUUAUAUUUGCCACAGAUUGGUUUUGGGAACUCAAGCUCAGCACAGGGAUGGUUUUCUGCACAGAGUUAUAAUUGAAUUGAGGUGUUGUCUUUCCUCCCAGCCCAGCCUUCACUCCAAGAACACGCACAAUCACAAACACAAAUAUCUCACAGGGAAAUAUCAACAACUAUUGAGCUGAAAUAGGCUGGACUAGCCCCCAAACAUAAAUGUGAAAAGCUCAACAACCUGCACCUCCUUAAUUUCAUCCAGACUGAAAAUUGGAGGAAACGGAACAUUUCAUGAAUAUCCCAAUAGAAAUUCAGCUCUCAGGCAUGCUACCAUCUCCUCCUAUUUUAAAUUGAGCAAAUGACCAAUUUCUCAUUUAUUUGUGUGGGAAAUGUCUUUCAUGUGGUUUCUCAUUCUAUAAUUGGAACAUAAUGUGUCCAGAUUAUUUAUCUUCACCUGAUUGAGAAACCAUAAUAAAUCCUCACAAAAGGAAGAGGUCCUGCAGCAACAAAAGCAGAAAAAAAGUCAUUAUAAAUGCAAGACAGCAAGAUAGACAGGUAACUAGAAGAUGCACCAUUCCCUGCAAAUAAUUUAUAACAAAUCAUUUAUUUAUCCAAUUUCACCAUUUUUUUCUGCUCACAAUGCAUUAGCAAGAUCCCGGAGUCCUAGAACUGACUUUUUACUUGAAAUUAUUCAUGAUUUUUCCCUUUUAAAGAUAAAAAGGUUUGUCUUCUCCUUUCUUUUCAAAUGAUUUUACAAGGCUUGAAAAUUAUGUAGAGUUAAAUAAGACAACUAUUUUGGAGCUUUAAAAAACUGAAAACUAUCUAGGCCUUAAUUUUGUGACACAAUUAUGCUUGACUACUUUUUUUUCUUAGGAUACUUUUCUAAGCAGGAUGCUUCAGUAAUGCUAUGAGAAUAGUUAAGAUUAAUUUCACUCUGAUUUUAAGCAAAUCAGAUGUCUAAGCACCAUAUAGAUCUAGGUCAGUCACAUUACUCCUUGUCCUAUGACUACAGCUUCUGGUGAAAAGUCUCUCUCUGUUGAGACUUGGAACCCAGAGAUUUUUUUUUCCCAUGUUACCACAACUUUUGCAUCUGGUUUGCCCAGGGGUUUGUCUUUUUCAAUAAAUUCCUUUCCUAAUGAGAGUGAUAAUUUCCUUCUUCAUGGAAACUUUCCCUUGCAUGGUGGAAUGGCUCUGAGGAACCCAACACGGGGAUGUCUUCACUUCUGUUCAACGGAACUGAUGUUUUCCUGAAAGGAGCAUUUCAAACACACAGGUGUUGUUUAGGGAAUCAUUUGGAAGGACUGGAAUAUGCCAGGGAGGAGAGCCCAGAGCCUCUCUGGGCUCUGCUCAGGGCUGGGCACUGCCCAGGGCAGAAGUUGUGCCUCCUGUGCAGGGAAUUGCUGGGCUCAGCCCCUGCCCGUGGCUCUGGGGCCAUCGCUGGGCCUGGGGCAGAGCCUGGGGCUGCUCUGACCUCCUGCACACAGGGACACACAGGGACACACAGGGACACACAGGGACAGCCAGGGACACACAGGGACAGACUGGGACACACAGGGACACCCAGGGACAGACUGGGACACACAGGGACAGGCUGGGACACACAGGGACACACAGGGACAGACUGGGACACACAGGGACACACAGGGACAGACUGGGACACACAGGGACACACAGGGACACACAGGGACAGCCAGGGACAGACUGGGGACACACAGGGACACCCAGGGACACACAGGGACACACAGGGACACACAGGGACACACAGGGCUCAGGCCCCUCUCACUGGGGCUCUCUCCAGGCUGAGCAGCCCCAGCUCCCUCAGCCUUUCCUGGGCCCGGAGCUGCUCCAGGCCCUUGCUCAGCUCCAGGAGCUCCUGGCCCUGCUGUGCUGAGGAGCCACAGCUGGACACAGCACCCAGAGGUGCCCCCAGGGCUGGGCACAGCACCCAGAGGUGCCCCCAGGGCUGGGCACAGCACCCAGAGGUGCCCUCAGGGCUGGGCACAGGGGCAGGGUCACCCCUGACCCGCUGGCAGUGCCCAUCCCGAUGCACCCAAUUCCUCUUGGUAGCUUUGUUCGUGUCAGAGCCAAGUGACAUUCCUGUAAUUACAACACCCGAGUUAGGUGUAGACAUAAAGCAGUAUGUGGAUAGAAAUCCCCAAAUUUAGAAUUUGAGAACUCACUUGUUUAAACCCAACCCUUUGUGUGAGCAGCUGUCACAGCUGGACUGUGGGAAUCCAGGGCUUCCCUCUGGCUGCCCUGGAAGGUCUGGGACCCUGGCAGGGGUCAGGAACCCCCCUGGACAGAGCCCCCAGAGACACUGGCUGUGAUCUCUGCCCAUGGAAAAGUGUUUUCAAUCUUACAGGAUGAAUUACAAGCUCUGAGUGUUUGAUAUGAGUAAUAAUUAAGUGUGGCACAGGUGCAAAAGUAAAAUUUUAGGUUUCUAGAUUAGGGGUCCAAAGGGGACAAGAUGGAGGAAUUGGGUGUGUCUUGUCCUUUUCCUCCUUCUUCAUGUCCUCCAUAUUUCACUGUAGUGUUGGCAUUUUUCUGUUGGUUUAGGCUGGGGACACACUGUCCAACGUAGGUGACAGAUAUUGGCACGUUAUUGUAAAUCCAGCACAGGUAGUUUCUGGUAUUUAAUGUUUGUACCAUCCCACUGAGGGCAGAGCCCCACACGCUGCCCUGCAGGACAGAGCUGCGGCAGGGCAGCAGAACAUGUUAGAGAUAAACAGAAUAAACAACCUUGAAACCAGCACAGACGAAUUAUGGCUUCUUCUUUGGCAACGGGGCAGAAAGACAGAGACUUUCUACAAUCUUGGAAUCAUCAAUACCACGGAUUCCGACAGUGGACCAUGUCAGGGAUCACAGAACAGGCAAUGAAGAACCUGAAACAAAAGGUUCCCCUGCUCUGAAGAUUUUCCUGAAAGAUCUGUUGUAAAAAUGACAAGGGCCGAGGACCUUUAGCAAAAGCUUAAUCAGCAGUUUCUUUUAUGAAGCAGUGUUAAAAUUUGUUGCAAUAUUAAUGAUUUUAGCUCCUCAACAAUAGGAUACCUUUUAUCCCGCCUGUGGCAUAAAAUACUGCUUUUAACAUUUUGACUUUCUGUCAGUAUUAGAAUACGUAUUAAAUGACAGAAAAUUCAUUAUGUGUUGCAAUAUAAAUUAAGGGGAGAACCCAGACAGAUCAGCCACCUUGUUCACUCAGAUAACAGACAGCUUAUUUAGAACUACUUCUUAUAUGAUUUUGCAUUUUUUAAGCUACCCUUAGUGCUUCCUUUUUCUAUUACACUUACUGAGCCAUGUAUAUUUUACAUAUUAUGUAUUUACCAAACUUAAUGCCUUUUCCUCAGAAAUGCUGCUCAUAAAGAGAAGGUGCAUAAAGCACAUAUUAAAUUCACAUAUGCCAGCAAAGGGAAAGAUAAGAGGAAGGUCAGCAGAUCGUCUAAAUUUUUCCAGCCCUCCAUAAUAUUUCACUUAUUUGUUACCAAGACAGAGUAGGUUAAAAAAAAAAACAACAAAAAAAAAAAACAAAAAAAAAACCAAAACAUUGCUACAACAUUUACAUCACCCAAGGAUCACAUUUUUUAGAACUGGUCCACCAAAAUCACUUAUUUUUGUGUCAUAGAAGGACUAUCAGGUAGGACAAGCAUUUCAAAGAUUGUAUCCUGAAAAGAAGCAUUAAUUGCUUUUACCUCCUUCUAUCCAAAAAUAUUUUCAUAUUCAAAGUCAACCAGGGCUGAAAAUCUCACAAAAAAAUCCACAGUCUUAUCUCUCCAAAUAGUUAAGCAGGAAUACAUAAGAAAUGGGAUGGUGUGUGAAUUUCAGAAGCUUAAUCUUUUAAUUAGAGAAGGUUCCAUUUUUGAUAUCAAUAUUUCUGAAGCCAUCGCACCAGACGGAAAACUGAAGCAUUAACAUGGCAGAACUAGACAAUCUAUUUAAUUGUUGGGACAGAAAAUAAAUGAUUGACUUAUUGAUUACUACAUUUAGCAAAAUUAUCAAGCUACUAUUUACACUGUUUUAUCCAUUGCUAUGCUGUAUUUUCAUCCAUAAAAGAAUUUAUGAGCAAUUGAAAGAAUUUGUCACUUCAGUGCCUAACAGCUGGAAUGGUCUUCCUGCUUUAAAAUCAAAGUUUUAAAACC
Molecule: long non-coding RNA, 6703 nt
Filed under: Taeniopygia guttata (zebra finch)
Lineage: Eukaryota; Metazoa; Chordata; Aves; Passeriformes; Estrildidae
Description: lncRNA (ENSTGUG00000029734.1)
Source: RNAcentral